This 254-nucleotide ribosomal RNA is filed under the name uncultured bacterium. RNAcentral describes it as "partial 16S ribosomal RNA". It matches the Rfam family "Bacterial small subunit ribosomal RNA", at positions 524 to 776 of the family's 1533-position model. The record is from RNAcentral.
UACAGAGGUCCCGAGCGUUGUUCGGAUUCACUGGGCGUAAAGGGUGCGUAGGUGGUAAGGUAAGUCGGAUGUGAAAUCUCCAAGCUCAACUUGGAAACUGCAUUGGAAACUACCUUGCUUGAGGAUUUGAGGGGGGGAUUGGAAUACUUGGUGUAGCAGUGAAAUGCGUAGAUAUCAAGUGGAACACCAGUGGCGAAGGCGAAUCCCUGGAAAAUACCUGACACUGAGGCACGAAAGCUAGGGGAGCAAACAGG